Molecule: long non-coding RNA, 374 nt
Filed under: Mytilus galloprovincialis (Mediterranean mussel)
Lineage: Eukaryota; Metazoa; Mollusca; Bivalvia; Mytilida; Mytilidae
Source: RNAcentral
UGACUGUUCUACGGAGCACUUUUCAUCUAAUAUAGAUAUAAAGACUUGUAUAUAGACUAACCUGUUGGUUUUCCCAUUUGAAUGGUUUUUUUUACAAAAAAUGGAAGUUUUUAACGACCUUAACUGGCUAUACAGCCCUUGCACGGUCGGUAUAAAGUUUGCUUUACAUGUCACUAUUGAGGCCCUUUAUAGCUUCCUGUACGGUGUGAGCCAAGGCUCAGUGUUAAGUGGUUUACUUUUACACAUUUCUACUUGGACGAGAGAAUUGUCUUAUUUGCACAUCUUCUUAAAUCUAUUGUGUUUUAAAAAUCACGUUUAAUUUCUAAAUCCGAAACCGCAAAUAGUCUAAAUAUCAAGGAGGAAUUGAUAAAAAG